AAGCAACUUGUACCGUGAAACUGCGAAKGGCUCAUUAAAUCAGUUAUCGUUUAUUUGAUAGUACCUUUCUACUUGGAUAACCGUGGUAAUUCUAGAGCUAAUACAUGCUAAAAACCCCGACUUCGGAAGGGGUGUAUUUAUUAGAUAAAAAACCAAUGCCCUUUGGGGCUCCUUGGUGAUUCAUAAUAACUCAACGAAUCGCAKGGCCUUGCGCCGGCGAUGGUUCAUUCAAAUUUCUGCCCUAUCAACUUUCGAUGGUAGGAUAGUGGCCUACCAUGGUGGCAACGGGUAACGGGGAAUUAGGGUUCUAUUCCGGARAGGGAGCCUGARAAACGUAAGUUCCCCCCUCCGUCUUUUCCCUUCCACAUCUCUUACUAACACAAACCUCAGGGCUACCACAUCCAAGGAAGGCAGCAGGCGCGCAAAUUACCCAAUCCCGACACGGGGAGGUAGUGACAAUAAAUACUGAUGCGNAGCUCUUUUGGGUUUCGCAAUUGGAAUGAGUACAAUUUAAAUCCCUUAACGAGGAACAAUUGGAGGGCAAGUCUGGUGCCAGCAGCCGCGGUAAUUCCAGCUCCAAUAGCGUAUAUUAAAGUUGUUGCAGUUAAAAAGCUCGUAGUUGAACCUUGGGCCUGGCUGACCGGUCCGCCUCACCGCGUGCACUGGUUCGGCCGGGCCUUUCCUUCUGGGGAGCCGCAUGCCCUUCACUGGGUGUGCCGGGGAACCAGGACUUUUACUUUGAAAAAAUUAGAGUGUUCAAAGCAGGCCUAUGCUCGGAUACAUUAGCAUGGAAUAAUGGAAUAGGACGUGUGGUUCUAUUUUGUUGGUUUCUAGGACCGCCGUAUGWA
This 848-nucleotide ribosomal RNA is filed under the name Ochrolechia subplicans subsp. hultenii. Its description in RNAcentral is "bacterial SSU rRNA". It matches the Rfam family "Eukaryotic small subunit ribosomal RNA", at positions 67 to 879 of the family's 1831-position model. The record is from RNAcentral. Lineage: Eukaryota; Fungi; Ascomycota; Lecanoromycetes; Pertusariales; Ochrolechiaceae.